RNAcentral lists this long non-coding RNA (387 nucleotides) under Corvus moneduloides (New Caledonian crow). Its description in RNAcentral is "lncRNA (ENSCMUG00000019745.1)". Lineage: Eukaryota; Metazoa; Chordata; Aves; Passeriformes; Corvidae. The record is from RNAcentral.
GGGAGAGCCAUGAAUGGGGUACAGCUCCUUGCAGGUGGAAGGCAGCAAAGAAAGAAUCUCUAUUUUUUUUUCCUGCAAAUACUGCUUUGAACAAGAUCAGGCUUGACCAGGAAAAGCAGCCUAGCCCAACUUGGUGGUUGCCUGCAGGGACAGAAAGAGUGGAGAAUCUCGUGGUCCAUUUCUCUUCCUCCCCUGCUUUUUACAGUUUCAUGGAGCCAUGGGAGCUCUGGAAGUGAACUCAGACAAGAAGAGGUCAUGGCUGGAGGAACAAACCACACGUGGGACUAUGUUUCUUUUCUGCAGAUGGUAGUCAUGCACUGCUCAAACAGAGCUGUCUUGCCACAUCCAUGUCCAAAUGGGAUGAUUAGGGCAUUCUUCAGGCACUGA